Molecule: ribosomal RNA, 253 nt
Filed under: uncultured bacterium
Lineage: Bacteria
Description: partial 16S ribosomal RNA
Rfam family: Bacterial small subunit ribosomal RNA
Source: RNAcentral
UACAGAGGGGGCAAGCGUUAUUCGGAAUUAUUGGGCGUAAAGGGCGCGUAGGCGGCUUUGCAAGUGGCGGGUGAAAUCCCUCGGCUUAACCGAGGAACUGCCUGUCAAACUGCAUGGCUUGAGACCAGGAGAGGUGAGUGGAAUUCCCAGUGUAGCGGUGAAAUGCGUAGAUCUCGGGAGGAACACCAAUGGCGAAGGCAGCUUCUUGGUCCAUAUCUGACGUUGAGGCACGAAAGCGUGGGGAGCAAACAGG